CUCAAGAUUAAGCCAUGCAUGUCUAAGCAUACUGAAUUAUAGUGAAACCGCGAAUAGCUCAUUACAAUAGCUGUUGUUUCUUGGAUCUCCAAUUUACUUGGAUAACUGUGGUAAUUCUAGAGCUAAUACAUGCGACUAAGCGCCGAUCUCACGGCGGGAUGCGUGCAUUUAUUAGAACAAAACCUUCCGUCUUCGGACGUGUUUUGGUGACUCUGAAUAACUCAGUGAAUCACAUGGUCUAGCACCGGUGAUGUAUCUUUCAAGUGUCUGCCUUAUCAACUUUCGACGGUAGUUUAUGUGCCUACCGUGGUUGUAACGGGUGACGGAGAAUCAGGGUUUGACUCCGGAGAGGGAGCCUGAGAAACGGCUACCACUUCUAAGGAAGGCAGCAGGCGCGCAAAUUACCCAUUCUCGGCAUGAGGAGGUAGUGACGAGAAAUAGCAAGACGAUGCCCAUUGGGUGUCGUCAUUGCAAUGAGAACAAUCUAAAUCUUUUAACGAGGAUCUAGUCGAGGGCAAGUCUGGUGCCAGCAGCCGCGGUAAUUCCAGCUCGGCGGGUUUAUACCAAUGCUGUUGCGGUUAAAAAGCUCGUAGUUGGAUCUGCGCCCUUAGCCCGCGGUGUGGCCUUAACGUCACUACUGGAUCGACUGCGACGCAAUCGAGGCCGCUCGACGGUGCGAUGCUCUUCAUCGGGUGUUGUACAGUUGGCGGCAAGUUUACUUUGAACAAAUUAGAGUGCUCAAUACGGGCGUUAUGCUUGUAUACAUCUGCAUGGAAUAAUAGAAUAGGACCUCGGUUCUAUUUUGUUGGUUUUCGGAACCAAGGUAAUGAUUAAGAGGGACAGACGGGGGCAUUUGUACUGUGGCGGGAGAGGUGAAAUUCUUGGAUCGCCGCAAGACAAACUACUGCGAAAGCAUUUGCCAAGAAUGUUUUCAUUAAUCAAGAACGAAAGUAACGGGUUCGAAGGCGAUCAGAUACCGCCCUAGUCGUUACCGUAAACGAUUGUAGUUGGGGGCCAGCAGGUGUUUUCAUUGACCCUGUUGGACCCCGCCCGGAAACGGAUAAACUACGUUAUCCUGGGGGAGUACGAUCGCAAAGCCGAAACUUAAAGGAAUUGACGGAAGGGCACCACCAGGGGUGGAGCCUGCGGCUUAAUUUGACUCAACACGGGGAAACUCACCCGGCCCGGACACUAGUAGGAUCGACAGGUUGAGAGCUCUUUCUUGAUUCGGUGGGUGGUGGUGCAUGGCCGUUCUUAGUUGGUGGAGUGAUUUGUCUGGUUAAUUCCGAUAACGAACGAGACUCUGGCCUACUAACUAGCACCCGGUUUGCUUGUGACCGCGGUACUUCUUAGAGGGACAAACGGUUUUCAGCCGUAUGGCCGUAUGAAAAAGAGCAAUAACAGGUCUGUGAUGCCCUUAGAUGUCCGGGGCUGCACGCGCGCUACACUGAAGGAAUCAGCGUGUGGGAUCACCUGGCCCGAAAGGGCUGGGUAAUCCGGUGAAAAUCCUUCGUGAUUGGGAUCGGGACUUGCAAUUAUUUCCCUUGAACGAGGAAUCCCUAGUAAGUGCAGGUCAUCAGCUUGCGCUGAUUACGUCCCUGCCCUUUGUACACACCGCCCGUCGCUGCCCGGAACUGAGCCAUUUCGAGAAAAGCGGGGACCGAUAGCUUGAGGCAAAAGCCUUCACGGGCUUCUUGUUGACGGAAACCGCCUUAAUCGCAGUGGUUUGAACCGGGCAAAAGUCGUAACAAGGUAGC
Molecule: ribosomal RNA, 1757 nt
Filed under: uncultured eukaryote
Lineage: Eukaryota
Description: partial small subunit ribosomal RNA
Rfam family: Eukaryotic small subunit ribosomal RNA
Source: RNAcentral